This 102-nucleotide ribosomal RNA is filed under the name Platyophrya macrostoma. RNAcentral describes it as "partial 5.8S ribosomal RNA". The record is from RNAcentral. Lineage: Eukaryota; Ciliophora; Colpodea; Cyrtolophosidida; Platyophryidae.
UAUGAGGUGGAUUUCGUGAUAACUAACUCGAAGACAAACGACAAAGCGAUUAUUGACGUGCAUGGCAGACCGCAUUAUUUCGUGAAUGAUCCAACGCAAAUG